GAUGAACGCUAGCGGCAGGCUUAAUACAUGCAAGUCGAACGGGAUUCAGGGUAGCAAUACUUUGAUGAGAGUGGCGCACGGGUGCGUAACGCGUAUGCAACCUACCUUUAACAGGUGAAUAGCCCCGAGAAAUCGGGAUUAAUACACCGUAACAUUGCGGGAUGGCAUCAUUCUGCAAUUAAAGAUUUAUCGGUUAAAGAUGGGCAUGCGUGACAUUAGCUAGUUGGUGAGGUAACGGCUCACCAAGGCAACGAUGUCUAGGGGUCCUGAGAGGGUUAUCCCCCACACUGGUACUGAGACACGGACCAGACUCCUACGGGAGGCAGCAGUAAGGAAUAUUGGGUCAAUGGGCGGAAGCCUGAACCAGCCAUGCCGCGUGCAGGAAGACGGCCCUAAUGGGUUGUAAAACUGCUUUUGUCAGGGAAUAAACCUGCCCUAGUGUAGGCAGCUGAAGGUACCUGAAGAAU
This 467-nucleotide ribosomal RNA is filed under the name uncultured bacterium. Its description in RNAcentral is "bacterial SSU rRNA". It matches the Rfam family "Bacterial small subunit ribosomal RNA", at positions 28 to 487 of the family's 1533-position model. The record is from RNAcentral.